AUAUCCUGUCUGAAUAUGGGGGGACCAUCCUCCAAGGCUAAAUACUCCUGACUGACCGAUAGUGAACCAGUACCGUGAGGGAAAGGCGAAAAGAACCCCUGUGAGGGGAGUGAAAUAGAACCUGAAACCGUGUACGUACAAGCAGUAGGAGCACCUUCGUGGUGUGACUGCGUACCUUUUGUAUAAUGGGUCAGCGACUUAUAUUCAGUGGCAAGGUUAACCGUAUAGGGGAGCCGUAGCGAAAGCGAGUCUUAACUGGGCGCUCAGUCUCUGGAUAUAGACCCGAAACCGGGUGAUCUAGCCAUGGGCAGGUUGAAGGUUGAGUAACAUCAACUGGAGGACCGAACCGACUAAUGUUGAAAAAUUAGCGGAUGACUUGUGGCUAGGGGUGAAAGGCCAAUCAAACUCGGAGAUAGCUGGUUCUCCCCGAAAGCUAUUUAGGUAGCGCCUCGGACGAAUACUACUGGGGGUAGAGCACUGUUAAGGCUAGGGGGUCAUCCCGACUUACCAACCCUUUGCAAACUCCGAAUACCAGUAAGUACUAUCCGGGAGACACACGGCGGGUGCUAACGUCCGUCGUGGAGAGGGAAACAACCCAGACCGCCAGCUAAGGUCCCAAAGUAUUGCUAAGUGGGAAACGAUGUGGGAAGGCUCAGACAGCUAGGAUGUUGGCUUAGAAGCAGCCAUCAUUUAAAGAAAGCGUAAUAGCUCACUAGUCGAGUCGGCCUGCGCGGAAGAUGUAACGGGGCUAAGCAAUACACCGAAGCUGCGGCAAUGUCUUUUAGA
RNAcentral lists this ribosomal RNA (786 nucleotides) under Vibrio cholerae. Its description in RNAcentral is "partial 23S ribosomal RNA". It matches the Rfam family "Bacterial large subunit ribosomal RNA", at positions 429 to 1219 of the family's 2925-position model. The record is from RNAcentral. Lineage: Bacteria; Pseudomonadati; Pseudomonadota; Gammaproteobacteria; Vibrionales; Vibrionaceae.